AUUGAACGCUGGCGGCAUGCCUAACACAUGCAAGUCGAACGGUAACAGGGCGCCUGCUGCUGGAUUGAGGCGAACAGGGGAGUAUUAUGCCUAGAAAUCCGCCUGGGAGGGGGGGAAAACGUCCUAAGACGUGCUAUUAUCCCACAUACGCUGAGGGUGAGAACGUGGGGGAACUCCGGACUGUUUGGCCUCGCGCGAUUGUAGGGGCCGAUGUCUGAUUAGGUAGGUGGUGGGGUAAAGACGUACCAAGCCGACACUCGGUAGCUGGUAUGAGAGGACGACCAGCCACACUGGAACUGAGACACGGCCCAGACUCCUACGGGAGGCAGCAGUGGGGAAUAUUGGACAAUGGGCGAAAGCCUGAUCCAGCAAUGCCGCGUGCGGGAAGAAGGUCUUCGGGUUGUAAAGCGCUUUAGGUCGGAAGGAAGAGGAGCUGGUUAAUACCUGGCGCUGAUGACGGUACCGAAAGAAUAAGCACCGGCUAACUUCGUG
RNAcentral lists this ribosomal RNA (492 nucleotides) under uncultured bacterium. RNAcentral's name for it is "partial 16S ribosomal RNA". It matches the Rfam family "Bacterial small subunit ribosomal RNA", at positions 29 to 507 of the family's 1533-position model. The record is from RNAcentral.